This 253-nucleotide ribosomal RNA is filed under the name uncultured bacterium. RNAcentral describes it as "partial 16S ribosomal RNA". It matches the Rfam family "Bacterial small subunit ribosomal RNA", at positions 524 to 776 of the family's 1533-position model. The record is from RNAcentral.
UACAGAGGGUGCGAGCGUUAAUCGGAAUUACUGGGCGUAAAGCGUGCGUAGACGGUUAUUUAAGUCGGAUGUAAAAGCCCCGGGCUCAACCUGGGAAUUGCAUUCGAGACUGCAUUGCUGGAGUACGGAAGAGGAGGGCGGAAUUCCCGGUGUAGCGGUGAAAUGCGUAGAUAUCGGGAGGAACAUCAGUGGCGAAGGCGGCCCUCUGGUCCAGUACUGACACUCAAGUGCGAAAGCGUGGGGAGCAAACAGG